Molecule: ribosomal RNA, 253 nt
Filed under: uncultured bacterium
Lineage: Bacteria
Description: partial 16S ribosomal RNA
Rfam family: Bacterial small subunit ribosomal RNA
Source: RNAcentral
UACGUAGGGUGCGAGCGUUAAUCGGAAUUACUGGGCGUAAAGCGUGCGUAGGCGGUUCGUUAAGUUCGUUGUGAAAGCCCCGGGCUCAACCUGGGAAUGGCAAUGGAAACUGGCGGGCUGGAGUAUGGCAGAGGGGGGUGGAAUUCCGCGUGUAGCAGUGAAAUGCGUAGAGAUCCGGAGGAACCCCAGAGGCGAAGGCGGCGCCCUAGCUCGGUUCUGACGCUCAGACACGAAAGCAUGGGGAGCGAACGGG